AGCCUGGAGUGCAUCCUAAGGACAGCGCCAGCCCCACAGACAUGCUCACCUGCCGGUGCCAAAACUACAACUACGGCAGGCCAUUCACCAUUCUUCUCAACCAGCUGCUUCUGGGGUUUUCUGUGUGUUUGCCUGGGCCUUUCUCAGAGGUAGCACUGAAGUCCUGAGCCCCAGGAACCCUCUCCGUCCCAGGCAAACCAGAUCGAUGGGUCACCCUAGAUGCCUUCCAAACCAGAGUCCCUCCCGGGGGCAGGGCCAGACCUUGGUGCCUUUGCCUGGGUGCCCUUGCCUAGGUGCCCUUGUGUGUGCCCUGUGUCUGGCCCAGCACGGCCCCCUGGGCAUGCAGGUGGAGCAGCAUGUCAGCCCUGCUGCUGGAUCUGUAGGGCCAGGAGGGCCCCUGGCUGGUGUGACCCUGAGGAGUGGCAGCCAUGACAUAUGUCAUUGCAGGACUCACAGAGUAGGGCAGUGUCCAUGCUGUGGGUUUUAUUGUCAUAUUCUGUGUCAAUGCGUUUUGCUAACUUGGGCAGCUGCUCUAAUAGGGGACAGUACAAAUGAACAUUGAAAAUUGAUUCACAGUCUUUUUAAGGCUUUUCCCUUGUAUCACCUUGCUGGAUGUCACCCUAACUCUGUGAGAUGGGCACAGAUGAGGCCAAGAGAGACGACAUGAUUUUCCCAAGGUCCUCAAGCCCUUUGGUGUUGGAACAGGUUCCACUCCAUUCUCCAUGCCUUAGUCCCAAGCGCCCUCCCCACCCUGUGUACCCAGAUGCCCUGGACACAGAGGCUGGUGGCUCUGGCCAGCCUUCCUGUUUCAACCAAGGGACCCAGCCAAGCCACUCCACUCCACUGAGCCUCUUGCUCUUCAUCCGUGGGCUGUAGAUGAGUCUGAAGGUCUUGGUGAGAUUUUUGCCAACUGUGAACAAUCAUGGAGUCAGGUGUAAAAGCAUCCUGGUUAGACAGAUGAUCUAUUCAUAGGACAUUGAGUCAUCUAUGUGCUCGCCCAGUAUCAUCUGGGAGCUUGGUAGACAUGCGGAGCCUCAGCUGACCCAGCCCGAACAAGGGGGGCCCACGGCAGUGUGAGAAGUGCUGGUGAGCACCCUUCCACGGGUGUGCUUGGUCGCCUUUGCUUAUGCUUAGUGAAUGAACCACUGCCUUCUCUUCCCUGUUGGAACCUUCUAAACACUUGUUUGGGUAUAGCUUGCGUAUUAAUUUGCUAGAGCUGCCAUAACUUUAGAAUCUAGGCUUUAGAAUCUUGGGGAUCUGGUUUAAACUUCCUGCUUGGCCCUCUAUCAGCUGUGUGACCUUGGGAACUUGACCUAGUCCAGGCUCUGGUUUAUUCCUUGAUAAAGAGGUGGUUGUUGUAGGGGAUUAACAAAAUGGUGUAAGUGACCUGACACACGGCAUGUUGUAGGAUUAAUAAGAUGGUGUAGUGACUGACACAUGGCAUGUUGUAGGAUUAAUAAGGUGGUGUAGUGACCGACCCAUGGCAUGUUGUAGGAUUAAGAAUAUGGUGUAGUGACUGACACACGGCACGUUGUAGGAUUAAUAAGAUGGUGUAGUGACUGACACACGGCACGUUGUAGGAUUAAUAAGGUGAUGCAGUGACUGACACAUAGCAGAAGCACUGAUACCAUUUGCCUUUUUUCCCGUUUGCUUCUCUGCAUGUUGUUUCGUCUGCAAAACUGCUGGGGUGCAAGAGGACCUGCAUGGGCCAGUCACAGCAGGAACCCACGGGACCCCUGAGUGGUCUGUGCAGCACAGGGAGGGGGUUUGUUCCAGAUUCACUGAGGGAAGGAGAAGGUGAGCACGGAGGACACUGAGCUCCUCAGAGACAUCUGCCUCCCGUUUCCAGGGACACCUCUGGAAUAUUCAGAGUUUCAGGUUUUAACUACAUCCUGGAUCUCUUGAUUUGAGCUAGAAAUUCCCUGCGCCACUUGAGGAGACUCACUGUACUGACUCCACGACUCAGAAAGUAACAUUGGAGAAAAUUGCUUCCUAAUCCUGGAGGGAUUUUGCAAAAGCAAGAGCAUCCUGCGGUCUGUGCCCCGCUGCGCUUCCCUGGGCCGUGCUCAAGGAGGCCUCUGGAAAGUGCGCAUCCCUGAGCAGGCCCACCAUGACAGCUUCAGUUCUGUGACCACCUCCAAGGACAAACAGCUUUAUUUUACGAGUCACUUAUCCUUGGAGAGGCUCCUUGCAAAUGGAGACGGGAGCAUCCAAACACAGCCUGGAUUGCCUGACCUCAUGGGGCACAGGCAGGUAGCAAUGAGGGUGAGGCUCAGUCAUGGCCUCCUGCCUCUGGCAAAGAUAAACAAAGACGGUCACUACUUAAAGGGCAGGAUGGAGUUUAUUCCGCAAUAACUACUGCAAUAGGCAGGAGGGCCCAGCGUGAACUAAACUCAACUUGGCCAAAACAGAAGGCUGGAGAUUUUUUAAAGGCUGGAGUGUGCAGGGGAAGGGCCUGGGCCACAUGGGUUUGUUAAUUGGCACUUAUCCAAGGAGAAAGGACCUUCUCAUAUCUUCAUAGCAGGCAGUGGUCCAAGUUCGAGCAAGGCGCCUGCCUGCCCACUCACCCACCAAAGUUGAGCCCCCAACCUCUGAGGAGAGUGGGCGUUAGCUCCCUGGAUGUUUCCAUUUCAAAAGGCUCCCAGGUCCUUGAGAAGACAGCUCUGGGUGGUAGAAGGUUUGCAUCUCAAACAGCAGAGAAAGGACUUGCAACUACAAGCUUUCCCAAGUACCUGCUGUAAGAUGGGGUUCAGGGCCCAUCUCCCAUCACCAAGUUUUGGCUCGAACAAACAGUCAAUUCUCCUGACAGUGUUGAGCUUUCUCAGGCAGGAAGCUGAGGGGACUGGACUUGUCAUCCUCGGGAUGCAGCUGUGAGCUGUUGGAAAUUAUGCUCGUGUUUGUUCAAGUCUCUUAGUGUGAGGGGAGAGGAUGGGAGGGAGAAUGGACAAAAUCGUUUGUGCUGAGAGUCAGCAGUUUCUUUAGGUCAAGGUUGAGGCCUAGUCGAGAAGAGCCAGAGAAGCCUGGCUAGAGUUUGUUCAAGGAGAAAGUCUUUGUCACCUCCUGCUGCUGCCAUACCUGUGGGCUUCUACCCUCUGGGGAUGCUGUCCCUGCUUCCUGGUGGUCUUCUGGGCCCCGUGAUUCCUGUCAAACCUUGUUACAACACAAAGGAGCCUAUGGGGUGAAGGGAGAGAUCAGAGACUGCUGUCCUGGGCACAGGCAUUAGAUGGGCCCCCUGAGAGUGUAGCCUGGGCCCCGAGGCUGGGUCACGAGUUGAAGAAACAGCACUUUCACCCUUUAUCUGCCCACCGCCUCAGCUUCCCAGGGCACACACGUGCCUUUCCAUACGACAUAAGGAGUCUGACUGCCCUGAGGCUGCCAUGCCGUGAGGAAGCCCAAGCGAAGCAUGUAGACAGGCAAUGUGGAAGACCACCAAGGUGCUAGAUAGGUGAGGGAAGCCUUCUAGAACCUUCUGGCCCAGCCUGGCAGCCAACUGAAUACAGUCAAAAAAGUGACCCCAGUCAGUGCUACAUGACUACGGCAGCUCACAGAAUUGUGAGAAAUAACAGAUCAUUGUUUGGGGUCAUGGAUUGUGCAACAAUAUGCAACAGAAGCAUUUGGGAUCUGGCAGGUAGUGUCCUUUGAGCCCCUGGGAAUGUGGAAAAGGUGACACAUCUCCAUGUCACUUUCCAGAGAAUGAUGUGAUCAAUGAAGACGAAGUGGCACUUCUCAAGGCCACACUCUGAUCUCGAUACUUCAUCAGCAACAAGCUAUUGAGGGAGAAGGAUGAGUGGGGGAAGAGGAGAUCGAGCAGGGAAAUGGAUGAGGGUUCCCUAGAGACUAGGGCUUUGGUCCUAGGGAAAGGACUGGAAGAAUAGCAGCGCAUUCUGUGUUGAAUUCGAGAGAACUCCGAGAUUCCCAGGAAGCUGGAGAGGUGUAAACACUGGAGCCUCAAGCCCAGAAUGACUCAGGGAAGACUGUCCCAGAAUGUCCCUGAGCAUCAUGUAUUCCUCCCUACUGACCCAGGGAUCCCCAUGCUGGACUAACCAAAAACUGCUGUCUCCGUUUGUGGCAAGUCUGGAAGACAAGCCAUUUGUAGGAGGAACUCAGUGUACAUGAAUUGUCCGUUCAUCAAAUGACCAGAUGGCCCAAGCCCCUUUGGAUAAAUGUGUACACUUGUCCGCUCACCACAAAUGCAAACUGCUUCUGAUCCUUCUUCUCCUGAGGAUGGAAAAGACAACAUUCCUGGAUGGGUGGCCAAUGCCACGCCCUGAACUGUGUUAAUCUGCUCUUCCCAAGAUACUGCAUCUGACACAACCACUGCAAUUGGGGCUCUACUUGAUAAAGGCUUCGUAAAGUCACUGUAUGAGUCUGCUCGGGCUGCCGUAACAGGAUGGCACAGACCCCUCGACUUAAACAACAGCAAUGUAUUUUCUCACAUUCUGAACACCGGAAGUCCAAGAUCAAGGUUAAAGAACUCAUGUGGGGGUUCUGCUGACUGCCAAGAAGCUCCAUCCCGAUGAUCCAUUCAAGAAGUGGAAAAUGACCAAGGGGGCCACAGUGAGCCAGACCUGGGACCUGAGCCCAUCUUCUCCUUCCCAACAGCGGGCUGUGGUGACCCCCUGUUCUCCAGUAUCAAUUUAGACCCUGCGUCCAGUCCUAGAAAGUUAUGAAUGGUCACUCAAGUAAAAGGCUGAGAUUUCCUUUGGGGAGGCCAAAAGGAGUCACUAGUGCAUGCACCUGCCAUGGGGUUGUGGGUCCUUCUACACAGAACUGACAUUUCCCUCUGUCUGGGUUCUGGGUCUGAUGACUGGCUCAGGGCCGGAAGCCAACCAAGGCCUCAUGAUUUGGCUGCUCUCAGCCUCCUGAUCAUCCAUCCUCAGUAUUAUUUAUCACACAAAUGAAGCAGUGCCCUUCUUGACUGCCCAUCCAGCCCGCCUCUGUGGAUGCUGUGUUCUAGGCAACCACCUCCUUGAUGUCUGCAUGCAGGGCCCCCAGCAGCAGCUCUGAUCUUGUCACACACUGAGAUAAUUGCCUUCACCUUGCUUCUGAUGAUUGAAC
Long non-coding RNA from Equus caballus (horse), 5058 nucleotides. NCBI's taxonomy places the organism in Eukaryota, Metazoa, Chordata, Mammalia, Perissodactyla, Equidae. The record is from Ensembl.